AUGUCGGUCAUUUGUGAAGGAGCAACAAAAAUAGUUGGAAAGUAUUGCAGUAGUUGGAUCAUGAAGAAUGAGCCUAAGAAAUCUAUCUUGACAGGAUUUGGAUGGUUGCAAGAGACUAUUGGAACACCAGGGGAGACCUUUACAAUGUUCAGAAUGAAGACAAGAGUUUUCUUUGAGCUUCAUGACUUGUUGGUGAAGGACUAUGGGCUCGGUUAUUCUCCAUUUGUUAGCAGCUACGAGUCUCUUGCUAUGUUCUUGUGGACCUUGGGGGGUUGUGAAUCAAAUAGAAGGACCCAAAACCGUUUCAAACAUUCACCUGACACUAUCCACCGCAAGUUCCAUGAGGUACUGCAUUGUGUGGUCAGGAUGUCUUGUCACUACCUCAAGCCGAAAGACCCCAAUUUUCACAUUGUGCAUCAAAGGAUCCUUGGUGAUAAACGAGCAUAUCCACACAUGAAAGACUGCAUUGGUGCAAUAGAUGGGACUCACAUUAGAGCUUCAAUUCCAGAAGACAAGCAAAUCAGAUAUAUUGGAAGGACAGGCGCAGUCACUCAGAAUGUGAUGGCAAUAUGUGACUUUGAUAUGCAUUUCACUUAUGCUUCAAUUGGACAACCUGGUUCUAUGCAUGACACAAGUGUGCUAUUUCAUGCAAUGCAUGCGGACAAGGCCACCUUCCCCCAUCCUCCAAAGGGUGAGCAUGCGGACAAGGCCCCCCUUCCCCCAUGA
Molecule: ribosomal RNA, 726 nt
Filed under: Triticum aestivum (bread wheat)
Lineage: Eukaryota; Viridiplantae; Streptophyta; Magnoliopsida; Poales; Poaceae
Description: partial small subunit ribosomal RNA
Source: RNAcentral